GGCGCUGCGUUCUCACGUCCCGGAGCUCGCGCGAGUCGCUGCCCCCACCCACCCGGUCCGCGCUGGGCCCUGAGCCUUCCUUUGUCUUCCAGGCCCGAGAGACUCGCCCGCGGCUGCGGCCGCUCUGGCUCCGAGUGGGGGCGGUGGGCGCAGGGAGAGUUCUCCCCUGGCCUCUCCCUUCACUGCCUCGCCUCUGGGGGCCACUCCGGGACCCUUCCUGCCUCUCAGGUCUCCCUCCAACCCAAUUUGUUCACAAAGCUUCCUGAGACCUUCACAGCUGCAUGCAUUUGAAAUUAUUGACCAUAUCAACACCUGCCAUCUAUGUGGACUGAUCUGUUUAAAGCUGGAAACAGCUCCCUGCUUUCUGCCUGGAAAAGUGAUGGAGGAUGGCCCAAGGACUUGGAAUCCCAGCCCCACAUGGGAGACCUAGAAGAGGCUCCAGGCUCCUGGCUUCGGACUGGCUCAGCUCUGGCUGUUGCUGCAGC
This is a long non-coding RNA of Ochotona princeps (American pika), 485 nucleotides long. RefSeq lists it as uncharacterized. The record is from RefSeq and is a predicted model, not a curated record. Lineage: Eukaryota; Metazoa; Chordata; Mammalia; Lagomorpha; Ochotonidae. The transcript has 3 exons.